GGACCAAGGAGUCUAGCAUGUGCGCGAGUCAUUGGGAUAUAACUAAACUCAAAGGCACAAUGAAAGUGAAGGUCCGCCUUGCGCGGACCGAGGGAAGAUGGGUGGUCGUUACGGCUGCUGCCCCGCACUCCCGGGGCGUCUCAUUCUCAUUGCGAGAAGAGGCGCACCAAGAGCGUACACGCUGGGACCCGAAAGAUGGUGAACUAUGCCUGGUCAGGACGAAGUCAGGGGAAACCCUGAUGGAGGUCCGUAGCGAUUCUGACGUGCAAAUCGAUCGUCGGAACUGGGUAUAGGGGCGAAAGACUAAUCGAACCAUCUAGUAGCUGGUUCCCUCCGAAGUUUCCCUCAGGAUAGCUGGCGCUCGUAGCGCACGAGUUUCAUCCGGUAAAGCGAAUGAUUAGAGGCAUUGGGGUCGAAACGGCCUCAACCUAUUCUCAAACUUUAAAUGGGUGAGAUCUCCGGCUUGCUCGAACUCUUGAAGCCGCGAGACUCGAAUCAGAGUGCCAAGUGGGCCAUUUUUGGUAAGCAGAACUGGCGCUGUGGGAUGAACCAAACGCCGAGUUAAAGCGCCUAAAUCGACGCUUAUGGGAUACCAUGAAAGGCGUUGGUAACUUAAGACAUCAGGACGGUGGCCAUGGAAGUCGGA
Molecule: ribosomal RNA, 646 nt
Filed under: Tetratoma fungorum
Lineage: Eukaryota; Metazoa; Arthropoda; Insecta; Coleoptera; Tetratomidae
Description: eukaryotic LSU rRNA
Rfam family: Eukaryotic large subunit ribosomal RNA
Source: RNAcentral